Molecule: transfer RNA, 63 nt
Filed under: Rediviva intermixta
Lineage: Eukaryota; Metazoa; Arthropoda; Insecta; Hymenoptera; Melittidae
Description: tRNA-Tyr
Source: RNAcentral
AGUAUUAUGUCUGAUUAAAGUAAUAAAUUGUAAAUUUAUAAAUGGACUAAAGUCCUAAUACUA